GAUGAACGCUGGCGGCGUGCCUAAUACAUGCAAGUCGAGCGAACAGACGAGGCGCUUGCGCCUCUGACGUUAGCGGCGCACGGGUGAGUAACACGUGGAUAACCUACCUAUAAGACUGGGAUAACUUCGGGAAACCGGAGCUUAUACCGGAUAAUAUAUUGAACCGCGUGGGUCAAUAGUGAAAUACGGUUUUGCUGUCACUUAUAGAUGGAUACGCGCCGCAUUAGCUAGUUGUUACGUUAACGGCUUACGAAGGGUAGGAUGCGUAGCCGACGUGAGAGGGUGAUCGGCCACCCUGGAACUGGGCCACGGACCAGGCUCCUACGGGAGGCAGCAGUAGGGAAUCUUCCGCAAUGGGCGAAAGCCUGACGGAGCAACGCCGAGUCAGUGAUGGAGGCCUUCGGAGCGUAAAGCUCUGUUAUGAGGGAAGAACAAAUGUGUAAGUAACUAUGCACGUCUUGACGGUACCUAAUCAGAAAGCCACGGCUAACUACGUG
This 497-nucleotide ribosomal RNA is filed under the name uncultured bacterium. RNAcentral describes it as "partial 16S ribosomal RNA". It matches the Rfam family "Bacterial small subunit ribosomal RNA", at positions 28 to 507 of the family's 1533-position model. The record is from RNAcentral.